Molecule: ribosomal RNA, 465 nt
Filed under: uncultured bacterium
Lineage: Bacteria
Description: partial 16S ribosomal RNA
Rfam family: Bacterial small subunit ribosomal RNA
Source: RNAcentral
CUACGGGACGCAGCAGUGGGGAAUAUUGCACAAUGGGCGCAAGCCUGAUGCAGCCAUGCCGCGUGUAUGAAGAAGGCCUUCGGGUUGUAAAGUACUUUCAGCGGGGAGGAAGGGAGUAAAGUUAAUACCUUUGCUCAUUGACGUUACCCGCAGAAGAAGCACCGGCUAACUCCGUGCCAGCAGCCGCGGUAAUACGGAGGGGUGCAAGCGUUAAUCGGAAUUACUGGGCGUAAAGCGCACGCAGGCGGUUUGUUAAGUCAGAUGUGAAAUCCCCGGGCUCAACCUGGGAACUGCAUCUGAGACUGGCAAGCUUGAGUCUCGUAGAGGGGGGUAGAAUUCCAGGUGUAGCGGUGAAAUGCGUAGAGAUCUGGAGGAAUACCGGUGGCGAAGGCGGCCCCCUGGACGAAGACUGACGCUCAGGUGCGAAAGCGUGGGGAGCAAACAGGAUUAGAUACCCGUGUAGUC